This 85-nucleotide transfer RNA is filed under the name Halomonas lysinitropha. RNAcentral describes it as "Halomonas sp. 3(2) tRNA-Val". Lineage: Bacteria; Pseudomonadati; Pseudomonadota; Gammaproteobacteria; Oceanospirillales; Halomonadaceae. The record is from RNAcentral.
CGGCGCCCUGGCGGAGGGCGACGCCGGGCUCACGGCCUGGGUCAACGAACUGGUGUGGCGUGAAUUCUAUCGUCACGUCGCCGUC